Molecule: ribosomal RNA, 253 nt
Filed under: uncultured prokaryote
Description: partial 16S ribosomal RNA
Rfam family: Bacterial small subunit ribosomal RNA
Source: RNAcentral
ACGGAGGGUGCGAGCGUUAAUCGGAAUUACUGGGCGUAAAGCGCGCGUAGGCGGUUUGUUAAGUCAGCUGUGAAAGCCCUGGGCUCAACCUGGGAACUGCAGUUGAUACUGGCCGACUGGAGUGCGGGAGAGGGAGGUAGAAUUCCAUGUGUAGCGGUGAAAUGCGUAGAUAUAUGGAGGAAUACCGGUGGCGAAGGCGGCCUCCUGGCUCGACACUGACGCUGAGGUGCGAAAGCGUGGGGAUCAAACAGGA